This is a long non-coding RNA of Caenorhabditis elegans, 371 nucleotides long. Ensembl annotates it as ncRNA. Its record names the gene linc-73. Lineage: Eukaryota; Metazoa; Nematoda; Chromadorea; Rhabditida; Rhabditidae. The record is from Ensembl.
CAAAAACACAUUGCGUGACGAUAAAACUUCCAGUUCCCGUCUUCAAAACGUCAUUCCGAGAGACUAUUCGCCUGGAACCCUCGCCUUUUUUUCAUUAUGUGCUCAUCCCUAAAAGAGCCAAGAGCUCUCAAAAACUGCUGGGGAUCUUCGUGAAAAAAUGUUUGGUUGAAAAUUGUUGAAGCAUCUUGAAUUACCAUUUACUAAAGGACCAAGUAUACAUUUUGAAAUAGGCUCCGAAAGAUUGAAGCAUAUUUUGAACUAGAUAAUAUUAAUUAAAUUCAUUUUGUUGGUGUUAACUUUUAUUUUAAGUUGCGAGCAUGUUACCGUAAGAACCUUUUUCAUUUUUUAUUUUAAAUAAAAUUUUACAAUUU